ACGAACGCUGGCGGCGUGCUUAACACAUGCAAGUCGAACGGUGAAGCCCUUCGGGGUGGCUCAGUGGCGAACGGGUGAGUAACACGUGAGCAACCUGCCCCUGGCUCUGGGACAACCACUGGAAACGGUGGCUAAUACCGGAUACGACCCGCCUCGGCAUCGAGUGUGGGUGGAAAGUUUUUCGGCUGGGGAUGGGCUCGCGGCCUAUCAGCUUGUUGGUGAGGUGAAGGCUCACCAAGGCGACGACGGGUAGCCGGCCUGAGAGGGCGACCGGCCACACUGGGACUGAGACACGGCCCAGACUCCUACGGGAGGCAGCAGUGGGGAAUAUUGCACAAUGGGCGAAAGCCUGAUGCAGCGACGCCGCGUGAGGGAUGACGGCCUUCGGGUUGUAAACCUCUUUCAGCUCCGAAGAAGCGAAAGUGACGGUAGGAGCAGAAGAAGCACCGGCUAACUACGUG
Molecule: ribosomal RNA, 461 nt
Filed under: uncultured bacterium
Lineage: Bacteria
Description: partial 16S ribosomal RNA
Rfam family: Bacterial small subunit ribosomal RNA
Source: RNAcentral